Molecule: non-coding RNA, 30 nt
Filed under: Mus musculus (house mouse)
Lineage: Eukaryota; Metazoa; Chordata; Mammalia; Rodentia; Muridae
Source: RNAcentral
UGUUUGUUAUGUAGUAAUGGUGUGUAUGAC